GUAUUUGAUUGCGUUUUAAGGCAACAUGAACAUUCUAUGACACAUUCAGAGUAUAUGAUACAUAAGCCCGAAGGCCUACGGUGGGUUCACAGGUGUGUUGUGGAUUUAAGAGCUCGGGCGUGCACAUGCCCCGAAAGGCCAGCGACAACCCUCGCUUAUAAUUCUAUAAUGAUCCUUCCGCAGGUUCACCUACGGAAA
Molecule: unclassified non-coding RNA, 198 nt
Filed under: uncultured fungus
Lineage: Eukaryota; Fungi
Description: sequence contains ITS1
Source: RNAcentral